Molecule: ribosomal RNA, 497 nt
Filed under: uncultured bacterium
Lineage: Bacteria
Description: partial 16S ribosomal RNA
Rfam family: Bacterial small subunit ribosomal RNA
Source: RNAcentral
GACGAACGCUGGCGGCGUGCCUAAUACAUGCAAGUCGAGCGCUGAUGGUUUGUGUUUUUUCCGACUCGAUGAGCAGCGUACGGGUUAGUAACGCUUGGGUCUUCUUCCUUUCAGCGUGGGACAACAUGUGGAAACGAAUGCUAAUACCGCAUUCACACUUUAAACACAUGUUUAAGGUGUGAAAGAUUCAUUUGCUUCACUCAGAGAUUAUCCCGCGUUCUAUUAGCUAGUUGGUGGGGUAAAGGCUCACCAAGGCGAUGAUACAUAGCCGAUCUGAGAGGAUGAUCGGCCACAUUGGGACUGAGACACGGCCCAAACUCCUACGGGAGGCAGCAGUAGGGAAUCCUCCGCAAUGGGCGAAAGCCUGACGGAGCAACGCCGCGUGAGUGAUGAAGGAAUUCGGAUCGUAAAGCUCUGUUGGUUAUGAAGAAUGUGCAGAAGGGGAGAAAUGACCUGUAGUGACGGUAGUAAACGAGUAAGCGACGGCUAACUACGUG